AGCGCAGGCGGUGCGGCAAGUCUGAUGUGAAAGCCCGGGGCUCAACCCCGGUACUGCAUUGGAAACUGUCGUACUAGAGUGUCGGAGGGGUAAGCGGAAUUCCUAGUGUAGCGGUGAAAUGCGUAGAUAUUAGGAGGAACACCAGUGGUGAAGGCGGCUUACUGGACGAUAACUGACGCUGAGGCUCGAAAGCGUGGGGAGCAAACA
RNAcentral lists this ribosomal RNA (207 nucleotides) under uncultured bacterium. RNAcentral's name for it is "partial 16S ribosomal RNA". It matches the Rfam family "Bacterial small subunit ribosomal RNA", at positions 568 to 774 of the family's 1533-position model. The record is from RNAcentral.